Triticum dicoccoides is the source of this 2967-nucleotide long non-coding RNA. RefSeq lists it as uncharacterized. The transcript is spliced from 4 exons. The record is from RefSeq and is a predicted model, not a curated record. Lineage: Eukaryota; Viridiplantae; Streptophyta; Magnoliopsida; Poales; Poaceae.
UGGGUGAUAACCCUAGCCGCCAUCCCCAUCCCAGCGCGCCCCCUCCUUCGCAGCCGCCGCCACGUCUCCCGUCGUUGAGCUCGCCUCCGCCGCUGCUCUCCCCUGUCCCUCCCGCACCACCAACCCCGACUCCUCCCCUGUACACGGCGAGCUCGACGAGCAAGGCAGACAUUUGGGCGCUGCUGUACGAGGGCCAUGCCGAACACGCCCCGGAGCACGACGGCCUCUGCUUCCGCUUCUCAUCUGAUGGGCACCUCUGCGCGUGUGACGACCUAGGUGCCGCCGCUGUCACCACCGACACAAGUUCAAAGGCGACGGCCGCGCAUCGCCAUCAUCGGGACGAGCGACAAGGCCAAAGGCGACGGAGGCGACGGCCGCGCGUCGCCAUCACUGGGAGGAGCGACGCCCGCCGAGACGGCCGUCCAUGUCGCCGGUGUCAUCAACCUUCAGGUGCUCUUCCUCCCGUCUCAGCUAGGGUUCCUGUCCUUCCUCUCACUUCUUUCUCUCCCUCGCAUAUCUCUCUCCGUCGUCGUCGUCACCAUCCACACGAGGAGCACACAGACGGCUAAUCCGUCCAGGUUUGAGGCGGUGUGGUCUCGCAUCGCCUCUCUCCCCUUCAAGAACACUGUGCUCUCCCCUCUGUUCACUGUUGGUGGUUCAGAUACGGGCCAUUGAUGCUCAUUGGUAUUGCCGUGGCCGCGUCGGAAGAGGAGGCACGGCGUUGUGCGGAAGAUGGGGGGAGGCCGUCGUGGUGGUGGGGCUGGACUUUGCCGCCUGCGACGAGGCGGCCGUCGACGCCGCGGUGGAGGCGGCAUGGCAUUGCUUUGGCCACGGCGAGCUCAACACCCUGGUUAACUGCUGCUCCUAUGAAGGGGAAGUGCAAGACUGCCUUAGUGUAACUGAAGAUGAGUAGUCACACCUUGGCUGCUAAUAAAGGCGAUGGCAAAGUGGUUCCGGGAUGCGCAGUCCGGCGGUUCCAUGGUAUGCUUGAUCCAGAUCAUCGGUGCUGAGAGAGGACUCUGCCCAAGGGUUGUGGCAUACUGUACGAGUUUAGGCGUUGUUCAUCAGCUUGUCAGAUGGACUGACCAGAUGCAUGAUUGAAGUGAAAGGAGAAGGGCAUUUUCAUCAAAGGAACAUUUAUUGUGAGCUGGAUACAACUCAUGUUUGAUUAGUUGAGCUCUCCUCCUUGGCGAUUGGCUGAAGGAGGACCAGUCCGUCAAGCUAAGAUGGGCCGCAUCUGACUCGGCCUGUUGCAGUGGGGUGCCUUGCCUCCUUUGACACUCAACAUGAGACAAGGUGAUCUGGUGUUGGUUCUUAGGUUUAGAAGGUUUAUAAAUGAUCGGGGUCGUGUCUGUUGGAUGAUUGUGCCUUGGUGCUAUUUCCUGCUGGGUGUAUGAAUGAAACGUGAUUGAUCUUUGCCCAUUAACCUGUAUGACAGUUUAAUUCAAGUUAGUACAAGCAUAUGUUUGUUAAUAGAAUGUUUUAUGUUUUUUACAAGAAGCAUUGUACACUGCAACUAUUUUGGAUGGAAUAGUUACUAUAAGAGUGGGCUAUAUGUCACCAACCUUCUAAUUGUAUAUUGUAUUAUCUGAAGUUUGGUAUUGUUUCAUAAGCAUUUCUUUCAAUGUCAGAUUACUAUGAUUCUGACACCCAUAGUACAUGGCACGAACAGUUAUUUCUGUAACAAGGUUUUGAUUCAUGCUUAUGGUCACAUUAUGAAGUUGUACUCUGCUUCAACUCAUGUUUCUACCCUAAUUUGUCUGACUGGUUCUUUUUAUUUUUGUCGACGAGGUAUGUCAAGGCGACGUGGCGGCACUAUGGACGACAUAAGCAUGACCAGAUCAGUGGUGAAAAUCCCAGGUGUAAAUAUUCUCUUUAUUCUGUCUCAUUUUGUUGAAUGAAUAGUUACUUUAUAUGAUGCUGGUAAGGGUUUGAAUGAAUAGUUACUUUAUAUAUAUGCAUUGCCUGCUAUUUGCAAAGUUUGUUGGCUUUGGUCUGCAACUACAACUUGCACAAUAGGUGCAAUCGGAUAAAUGAUACAACUUGCACAAUAGUUACUUGAUAUGAGCUUAUGAAGAAGCUUGAGGAAACACGAAGGUCAAUAGGAUGCAUUUCCGUAGAGCUUGAUCGUGCAGAUUUUCUUGAAUUAAAGGCUUACUGAUAAAGCUAAGGUUUCUAUGGUUGAAAGGGAUUAUACCAAUUUACAGGACCCAAAGUGGCAGAAGAUUCUGCAACUGUGGAAACCACCAGGUACAUGUAGAACGCACAAAACAAUACUCCCUCCGUUCCAAAAUAAAUGACUCAACUUUGUACUAAAGUUAGUAUAAAGUUUAAUCAUCUAUUUUGGAACGGAGGGAGUACCUUCUAAGAUGAACCAGUACCUUAGGAGUUAGAGAGCACACGUGAAAUUACUAUCAGUUAGGAUUAUCAAGUUUAUUAGAUACACAGCAUCAGAAUGAGUGAGCGAGUGCAUGUAAAAUUGCUUUGAACAGUGAGCGAGUCCCGCACCAGUUUUAAUGCUGUAUAGAUUAUGUGUACUUAUAUUUAUUGAACUGGAUUACUUAAUAAAAUUUGAAGCCAAAUUUAAGAUGAUUCGAUGAAGAAAAAUUAGAAAACUUAAACAAUGUCAUGUCAUGUGUUAAGCUUAGAUGAUGCCUUUCUUACACAAAGGUCUUACAGUGUAUUUCUAUUAGUCAUUCUAAUAAACAAGGAUACCUUCCUUGCACAGGUAGUUCGGGAGUGAUGAUCAAUCAAUUCGAAGAACCACUUGCUUCGGCACUGUUAUUGCCCAACUAUGUAUUAUACCACUAGCUACCAAGUCGUUGCAGUGAAUUUCUAUUCGACCAUUCAUUUGUAGGAAUGUCUUGCUCUGAAUAUUAUGUUGCAUCAAAAUUGCUGGAUGCUCUCAGACCUUGACUGCUUUGUGUAAAUAUACAGUAUAUAAAGCAUUCUGUGUUAGCCCUGUUU